RNAcentral lists this ribosomal RNA (468 nucleotides) under uncultured bacterium. Its description in RNAcentral is "partial 16S ribosomal RNA". It matches the Rfam family "Bacterial small subunit ribosomal RNA", at positions 28 to 507 of the family's 1533-position model. The record is from RNAcentral.
GACGAACGCUGGCGGCGUGCUUAACACAUGCAAGUCGAACGGAAAGGCCCUGCUUUUGUGGGGUGCUCGAGUGGCGAACGGGUGAGUAACACGUGAGUAACCUGCCCUUGACUUUGGGAUAACUUCAGGAAACUGGGGCUAAUACCGGAUAGGAGCUCCUGCUGCAUGGUGGGGGUUGGAAAGUUUCGGCGGUUGGGGAUGGACUCGCGGCUUAUCAGCUUGUUGGUGGGGGAGUGGCUUACCAAGGCUUUGACGGGUAGCCGGCCUGAGAGGGUGACCGGCCACAUUGGGACUGAGAUACGGCCCAGACUCCUACGGGAGGCAGCAGUGGGGAAUAUUGCACAAUGGGCGGAAGCCUGAUGCAGCAACGCCGCGUGCGGGAUGACGGCCUUCGGGUUGUAAACCGCUUUCGCCUGUGACGAAGCGUGAGUGACGGUAAUGGGUAAAGAAGCACCGGCUAACUACGUG